UGAAAGAAUCUGUUAAGCUCAGGAGGGAUAGCGCCAUGGAUGGUCUUCUUUUUUGCUCCAUUUUCUGGUUUGCAUUUUAAUUUGAUCUUCUAUUGUGCUAUCCAUCCUGAGUUUCAUGGCUUUCUCAC
Lupinus angustifolius (narrow-leaved blue lupine) is the source of this 128-nucleotide microRNA precursor. It matches the Rfam family "MIR390 microRNA precursor family". The record is from Rfam. NCBI's taxonomy places the organism in Eukaryota, Viridiplantae, Streptophyta, Magnoliopsida, Fabales, Fabaceae.